Long non-coding RNA from Triticum aestivum (bread wheat), 3479 nucleotides. RefSeq lists it as uncharacterized. The record is from RefSeq and is a predicted model, not a curated record. NCBI's taxonomy places the organism in Eukaryota, Viridiplantae, Streptophyta, Magnoliopsida, Poales, Poaceae. The transcript is spliced from 4 exons.
UGCAUCAUGUGUGCCUCACCUCCAUCUGCAGUUGGAGAGAGAGAUGGACUGGCGCCUAUGACGCACUGGUCGACGCCGCGGCCGCUGCCGUCCGCGAGCCCGGGUGCAUGGUGGCACUCACGGACCUCAACCGCUGCCUCCACGCCUUCAGCGAGUCCUACGACCGAGCCGAGGGACUCGUCCAGGUGGCCGCCGGCGGCCUCAGCCCCGCUGCCUCCCGCCACGACGAGCUGUGCCAUGCCGUGCGCGUGGUCGACAAGGAUCUCUGGGCCGCCGCCGCCGGCCGGGAGGAGAAAGAGAUGGAAGACGAGAAGAAUCACCCUCCGACUACGCCGCUGGCGGCCGAGGACAAAUAGCCCAAUCGAUCUACCUCGACUCCUAUUGAGGUGAUGUUCAUCGUUCUUGUUUUUUCCAUGUGAUGUUCAUCAUUCCUCUUAUUUUCUUGGUUGACAUGCUAAUCGUGUUAGUCAUCUAGAAGAUGAAUGAAACUGUGACGGGAAAGGAGAGAUGGACUGGGAUAUUUUGCCUCGCCGUGCCGCAUGGUGGCUAAGAUGCGGUAGCCCCAUGCUAUGUUCCCAUGGGCCUCCUCUGCUCGAUGGUUGCCACUGGUUGAGUUUGGUAUGGUUUCCUAUUGUCGCUUGCGUCGAGCCUUGGGUGUGUCUCUCCUUCUCAUUGAGCCUACUUCUCCUGUUGCUGGCGCUUCUUCUUCUCGUCUGUCCUGCUCUUACCCAACGUGCUUCUGCUUGUUGCCUCGGGUAAAUAGGCCGUUAUGUUGCUUCUGUGACCGGCGAGUGUUCAUUGCAUGCCUGUGUGUCGUUGUGCUCUGACCGUUUUUGUGUGUGUAUUUCGCAAGUUGUACGAUCUCUUCAGUCGCUACGUCGUUCGACUCAUCAAGGUUUUCUUCUUUCCUUUCUACUACAUGUGUGCGUAUUUUACUUUCAGUAUCUUCUGUGUCAUGUUGUCUGCCUUGGUGAUCUUUUAAAUAUCUGUAUGUCGUGCUGAUCGUUUAAAUGUUCUAGAUAUGGUCGGGCAUUGUGUGUUGUUAUUUCUCGUGCUGCUUAUAUUUCGUGUAUGUGUGUGAGCAGGAUUUGUCCACUUGUUUCGAUUGUUAUACCUGUUUUGGAGGUCGUGGUAACGCAAUGCCCCCCGCGCUCACUCUUUCUGUUGUACACAGUAGCAUAUUUGUCCAAUUCUCAGACUGAUUUUUUGAAAGAAACCGCAGUUCAUUAGAAUGCCAAUUAUGGAUAUGGAUCCAUCUUGCUGCGCUGGAUGAAGGACUGGAUGUAAUAAGAAUUGCAUGUGACAAUUGCUCAUGAAUAGUAUUUGUUGUACAAACAUCCAGUUAAUUCUUGAGAUACAAUAGAGACACUAUAAUAGUACUACUUUAGUCAAAUACAUUAUCCACUGAUAGUUGUAGUGAGAUGUCGCUCUAGCUAUUAAUUUGCGGAAUCUUGCACGACAAACUAUAGGCAUGCGAUCUUUAUGGUGUUCCAGUAAAUAAAGGAAACUGGAACAUGUGCCUUCAAAUUUUCUAUUUAUAUACAAAAACCAUGCAUUGGUACAUAUGAACCAUAUGAAUAGGACUGAAGAAGAUCCAUUUUUUGUCAUGUUUGUGAGUUUUCCGUUAUUUCCGCUCAGUGUGAAUAGGACUGAAGAAGAUGGACAUAGCCCUUUAGGUAAUUUCACUUUUUUUGAACAGCAAACCGUAGAACAAUAGUUCUAUUGUAUAUUUUCAUUAAAAAAACAAUAUGUUACAAAGGGAAAGGAGAACAUAGAAAAAAAAGAAAAAAGAUCUAAGCUAAUGGGGCAGAGCCCUUAUCCAAUUUCAGUUUUGGGCAACAUGACAAUCAUUUAAAAAUUGAUCUGACAGUCUGCUUGAACGAGGUGGAAUGCUUGUCUUUGAUCUUGUGUUGAAGUAGUUGAAGAUCCUUUUUUAAUUCAAGCUUCCAAUUUGAGACUGUUGGCUGGAUGUUUCUGAAGACCUUGCCAUCUCACUUUACCUUGCCAUCUCACUUUGUUUAAAUAGGACAGGUUAUUUACGAAGGUAUACCAUUUCUAUUGACUGGAUAAUUUACAUGUUGGCAAGGACUUAUUGGUUUAGCCUGGUCAUAAUUGCUCAGCCAAUUUCCCAACCCAAAUCCAGAACCGCUUCAUCUUUAGAUCUUUACAUGAUUGAUGAAAUGCCUUAGAGACUAAGAUCUGCACUUUGUUUUUCUCUGUUCUCCUGCUCACGGAUUAACCGAUGGUUGUAAGACCCAGAGAAGCAUUAGGAACUGGUCUGCAGUGUCUUCCAGUGUACGCGUACACACAAUUCACUUUCCUUUUCUUUUUGCCCUUUGUAUAGAUGAUGUGGUUGAGUUACGAAGCCUCUUCUUGCAGCGUUGUGUGCAAGGCCAAAGGGAAGUUUUUAAUGCAUUUGAGCUGCUCUAUCUGACUGUUCAUCUCCUGAACCUAUUUUAGUUGAUAUAUAAGUGUUCUCUAUUUCAGAAAGCCACAACACGAGAUUGUGCCCCCUCUUGCUCUAGGUGCAUGUUGCUGCCCUCCUUUCCCCUCUGAUUUGACUUGCUUUACCUUGUGUGAAGUUUUAUACUUUCAACUUUACAAAGCUAUAUCAAGUUUGCUUUCAACUGUUACUUGGCUAGACAUGUAACAUGAUGCAUUUCUCUUUCAGUUUAUUGAAUAAAUUUUGAAGGAGCGAAUGCUCUAUCUGGUACUGUCCUAUGACUCAUUUAACAGUGUGUCAAUUUGCUCACAAACCUCCUCAUGUACAGCAUACAAUGAGUAUUAUGUCACAUAUCACACAACAUCUUGAUAUUUCAGCUAAUAAUAUGCUGUAAUUUUUAGGCGUAUCACUGUUUGGAUCUUUUGGGUUCCUUCUGUGUGUUGGGAGAUAAUGCUCUUAAUAAACUUUAGCUUUCUGCAAUGCUAGGCCAGAAAACUUUAGUACUGAAAAUCUAGACUGUUAUUUCCGCUCUGUAACAACUUCCAUGCUUGUGGCACCAUGAUACCACUACAACAUUUCCCUAGAAAUUUUUAUUAGUUGCACGUAAACUGAAUUGAAUUACUAGUAAAGUCGCUAACAACAAUUGUGGCAUUACCAGGAUAUGUCAUGUAUGUUCUCUGAGUCGUAGUAGGUUGCAAAAAGUACAAUAAGAGAUAGAAUGUAUGCACUAUGGCUAGCAGUAACAUUUUAUUGACUUGUGCAGUAUUCGAUACUAUCUAUUUCUGCAGGCUAUUCCUCAUGUUGCAACCUUUUCCCGUAGAAUUGAAAGGAAGAUGGAAGAAAUUGCAGGAGCUUGCUAUUAUUUGAGCAAGAAUGGUGUUCCCAGCGUGACAUUGAAAACCAAUCAAGAUUAUAAAGGGGCUGUGAAGGGCAAAAUGCUAUGGAUCCAGAGUGAGAGGGUAGAGUUACCCACAAUGUAUCAAGGAUAAACCGGGACAUGGAUUCCUAAGUUCCAACUUACAUAGCAAAAUUAUAU